Molecule: ribosomal RNA, 796 nt
Filed under: Taylorilygus apicalis
Lineage: Eukaryota; Metazoa; Arthropoda; Insecta; Hemiptera; Miridae
Description: SSU rRNA
Rfam family: Eukaryotic small subunit ribosomal RNA
Source: RNAcentral
GCAGCCCGCGGGUAAUUUCCAGCUUUCAAUAGCGUAUAUUAAAGUUGUUGCGGUUAAAAAAGCUCGUAGUUGGUUCUGCGUGCCACGCUGUCGGUUCGCCGCCUGCCGGUGUAACUGGCAUGCCGUGGCAUGUCCUGUCGGUGGCGUUCGGGAGCCUCGUUAGGUGCCGGCCCUUGCCCUAAAGCUUGGUGCUCGGAGGCCGGGGGUAUACCCGUUCGCCUAUCUAUCCUACCUAGGUGCUCUUCACCGAGUGUCGAGGUAGGCCGACACGUUUACUUUGAACAAAUUAGAGUGCUCAAAGCAGGCUGAAAUCUCUGCCUGAAUAGUGGUGCAUGGAAUAAUAAAACAGGACCUUGGUUCUAUUUUGUUGGUUCUUAGGAACACAAGGUAAUGAUCAAUACGGACAGGCGGGGGCAUUCGUAUUGCGACGUUAGAGGUGAAAUUCUUGGAUCGUCGCAAGACGCACAAGAGCGAAAGCAUUUGCCAAGUAUGUCUUGAUUGAUCAAGAACGAAAGUUAGAGGUUCGAAGGCGAUCAGAUACCGCCCUAGUUCUAACCAUAAACGAUGCCAGCCAGCGAUCCGCCGAUGUUCCUCCGAUGACUCGGCGGGGAGCUUCUUCCCGGGAAACCAAAGCUUUUGGGUUCCGGGGGAAGUAUGGUUGCAAAGCUGAAACUUAAAGGAAUUGACGGAAGGGCACCACCAGGAGUGGAGCCUGCGGCUUAAUUUGACUCAACACGGGAAACCUCACCAGGCCAGGACAUUGGAAGGAUUGACAGAUUGAUAGCUCUUUCUUGAU